UUAGCUUGGCUUUCUAUUAUUGCUCACCGCAACAAAGACACGAAACCAGGGGAGAAAUUGAUCUCUGUAUCUGAUGUUGUAAAGGAACAUUGGGCAACCUAUGGUAGAAAUUUCUUUUCUAGAUAUGACUACGAGGUUGGUAUCAUUCUUGCAAUUGAAGAUUUAUAUGUAUAAUAAUUUUUGACACUUAAUUAUUUAGUUUAGUUUUGCUUUGGAAUUUCUUAAUACCAUAAGCUAGGUUAAGUGCAUGUUUCAUUUCUUUUUCUUUUGAUUUUUGACAAAUUUAAAUAUAGGAAUGUGAAUCCGAAGGGGCCAAUAAGAUGAUAGAGUAUCUAAGAGAGUGUUUGUCUAAGAGCAAGUCCGGUGAUAAGUAUGGUAAGUUACUACAACUUACAAGCACUUUAUUAUCAUUAGCAGACACUGAUCCUGAGCAUAUUUGAAGUAUGAUGAGCAUUCUUCUACAGGAAGUUAUGUCCUCCAGUUUGCAGAUGAUUUUACAUACACAGAUCCUGUAAGUUCUUACAAUGUGCACAGUCCUAUCACGUUCAUUUUUUUUUUUCAACUCAAGGUCAAGCAACCGUAGUUCAAAAUCUGAUUUGAUUUAAAUGUGCAGGUAGAUGGAAGUGUGGUAUCAAAACAAGGGGUCCGGUUUGUUUUUACGGAUGGCUCAAGGAUUAUUUAUCGUUUAUCAGUAAGUGACAUAUGUUUAUUAGCGCACCGUCUCUUUCAAAACAUUUAUCAAAAAUUAAAUAUUAAGUAAUUAUGUACGCUGUUUUGUUUUACAGGGAACGGGUUCCGCUGGUGCAACUGUUAGAGUGUAUAUUGAACAGUUUGAACCAGAUGUUUCUAAACACGACCUUGACGCUCAAAUUGCUUUGAAACCAUUAAUAGGUUAUUUUCAUAUACCAAGAUAAAGUAUAGUAAUAUAAACAAAUCUGCUUAUUUUUCUGUGACUAAUUACUCUUAGUACUAUGCAGACUUAGCAUUAUCCGUUUCAAAGCUCAAAGAGUUCACAGGGAGAGAGAAGCCUACAGUCAUCACUUAAAAAUGUACAUAUUCCACAACCACUCAUCAAAAUGUACUCCAAGUUGAGUGCAUUGCGCCUAUCCCAUUAUUACCUGAGAUCAAUUCGGUUUGUCAUUUUUCAGUUUUGGUUGUUUUACCCUUUUGGAGCAUAGUCCUCCCUAUGUAAAAUAUGAUAUUUAUAUGCACUUUUAAGAAAUGAAAUACCAUUGUGUAACUAAAUAAAUAAUAGUAUUAAUUAAUAAUAUCUAGCUUCUCUGUAAACGGAGCUUUUGUUUUCAAUGUUGUCCCAUUUUUCUAAGUCGGGAAACUAGAGUUGCACCUCAAAGCCAGAUUUAAGACCACCCUCUGCGAACUAUGUGUUAGCUGCACAUGCUGAUUCCAUUGGAAACAUUGCUAGAAAACCCCCUGAUGCUGCUUCGGAUGUGCACAGGAAGGGAUUGGUGAAUGACAUUUGUUCGUUACUAUUGGUGUCAUGCAUAUUCAUAACAUAAAGCAUAUCUCAUAAUUAAUACUUCAAACUGGUGAAUCAAAUUAUGUAAAUGGUUUUAUGAUAUUUUUUCGGUACACCAAAAAGUUCCACAGUGCUUUGGAGUUGAAGACAAUGGUAGUUUAUACUUUAUAAUACAACACUUCUUAGCUCAAUGUCAUCAAAUGGUCAUGGUUUUGAUUUUGGAAAUGUACUUUUUAGUUGUGCAAAAACGGACUGAUUUUUCUUUGGAAAUACACAUGGAUAGCAAAAAUUUGUUUUUAGGGUCUAACUGUGGUAUAUGACUAUAAAUUGUGAAGUUGGGAACAUUCAGGAUUGUGACACGAUUUGUGUACCGUGUCACGAUUUCGCAAGGCCGUGAGCAUGGUUUUAUGAGCGUUCAACCGUGACACGAUUUUUGGCAUGCUUGGCACAUUUUCAGGAUAAAGUUGGUCGUACCUUGGGUCGUACGUAUCAACCGUGACACGAUUUGGCCAAUCAUGUCACGAUUUUGACAGCUGAAGACUGUUAUUUAAGUGUUCCAAUUCAAUUUUUAAGGAGAGCUUCAAGAGAGAAAAACUUGGGAAAUCAAAGAAGGUAACUUUAUUGUUGAGGGUCUUUGAUUAUGGUUCUCUUGGGGUGGAAAACAUUGUAAACACCUUGGGUGAGUGAAAAUCAUUGAGUGUCUUGUUCAUUUGUGAGAUUGGGAAAAUGGAUAAAAAUUAGGUUUGUUCUUUGUGAGCUCGUUGAAGCUAAUUUCUUGUAACUCAUGUGUAUCUCUUUGUAAGAACUCAUUCAUAGUGGAUUGGAGAGAUCAAUCUCUCCCCCAGAGUAGGUCAAGUUGGAUCGAACUGGGUAAACAAUCUUUGGUGUGUUUGUUUCUCUUCUCUCUUUAUCUUUUGCUUGUGGUUUUGAGCCUUUCACAUUAUUAGUAGAUUAGAUCUAGGUGUUGUUAUUAUUGUUGUUGCUUGUAUUUACUUUGAAUUGGUUACAACUAUCGUUUGCUCCACACAUCUUUGUUUUCAUUGUGUGGUUUUGAGUCCGAAUUCACAACACUAACAAGGGGUCGUAACAAGUGUCCUAAGGAUACUUGUUAAGGUAACCAAGAUUAAUAGCUUUAUAUUGGAAACAACGAUUUUUAAAUUUUUUACAAGUUAGACUCGAUCAUUUUUUACCAUUUUCCAAUACAACAUUUUUAUUUUGUUCUCUUAUUCAAUAUCCUAAGGACACUAUUUAGCAUUUCUCUUCUUUUUAUCAUUCAUUAGAAUGAUAAAAUAAAUUGUAUGACAAUUAUUUAAUUUCUGGAUGAACAAAUCUACAAAUGUUUGUUGGUUUAUGUUAAUUUGCAGGGUUUAAAGCCUUGACCUUCUGCUUAAUACACCUUCGAUGUCCUUCAACUUUUUGGGACGUGUAUGAAAGGUAUAAGAAGAUGUAAUUAUAUCUAAACUUACACAUUUUUCAUAUAUAAUGAAAAGUUUAGACGAGUUGAAUGGAAAUGUAUGUUUUAUUCCAUUCUUUUCCGCUUUAUUCCAUUUAAUUAUAUUUCUAGUUUGCUAAUUUAGUGGAAAGGAAAGUGGGUAGUGGCAAUUACAUGAAGUUUUGGACCGAUACGUGGAUAUGAAGCGUCUCUAUUUGAGAGAUUCUCUCGACUGUAUUUGCUUUUGGAACAAAAGACAGCGAAGGUGGCAAAUGUGAGAGAAAGAGAUGGCAACAAGUGUCGAUGGAGUUUCGGUUAGAGAAGACUUUUCGAGUGGGAACAAGAGAGUCAAAAGGAAAGUUUGUUUAUCUUAUCUACGACUACCUGGUCUUCGAAGGACAUUUCAUGGUUACGACAUUUGGAUUUUUGUGGAUCCUUUUUUGGAACUCAUCAUAUUGUGAGAUUGCUCUAAAGUUUACUCAUGAAGUCGCUCUAGGUAAUUCAACCUCUUUUGUGUUCUAUAAUAUUUGGAACAGUGGAGCUCUGUCCGAGGUGUCAACGUUAUCCUAGAAGUUGUUGGAUGAUAACAUCUAGUUGAAAUCUAAUUUAGCUCACAUAGGGAUUAUCCUUGAUCAUGUCUUUGUUGACUGUUUUUUUAUGAGGGCCAAUUAGAAACUAUAGUUCAUAUCCUUUUCUUAACUGCAAUUUUGUGGCACUGGUCUGGUGUGGGGUGCUCUGGUUGUUAGGUUUGGUAUUGUUGAUGUUGUAGAUCUUCCGGUCUUCUUUGGGUCAUUUGGUGGUUUGAUUGGCAACAAGAAGAUAACAAAAUGUCUUUAGCUAAUUUGGCAUACUACUAUUUGGAGAGCCAAAAUUAAUACAAUUUUGGCUUAAGUGCACUUUUCCUCCUAACUUUCAAAAAGUUGCGAUUUUAGCCCCUUAUGUACAAAAACUACAAUUUUAGCCCCUAAGAUUUAGCCAAUUUGCAUCUCUGAUCUUUUUGAUCAAUUUUGACCAACUCAACGCUGGUUUGGCACAACACCUGUAAUUAACCAUUUUUAAAAAAUAAAAAUGUAGCAUGUUAAAUUGUUGAAUUAAACAAAUGGAAAAGAAAAAUUAAAAAGGAAAGGUAAAGGAGAGGCACGUGAAAAUUCAGAAAAACUUCAUCUUUCAAAAAAUUAAAACUUCAUUUUCUCAUUCAUUUUCUUAACAACUUCGUCUUCUUCUCAACCAAAACCCAAAAAAUCCAGAAAAUACAACAUAAGAAGAGUACCGCUACUAAAUCUCCACUAUGAGAAGGUAAAUUUUAGACACUUAUUCGAAUUUGAUUUUCGAUUUCGAUUUCAAUUCUCAAAAGUCGAAAAUGUCGAUUGUUGCAGACCUGGACUUCACCGGCAGAAUGGAAGACACAUCGGAGGAUCAGGAUUCAAAGGAAUGGUUGCGAAGUUAUCAAUUGCUGCUAUCGUACUCUUGAUCUGCACGUUCUCAUUGUUCUACUCUUCAUCAAAUGAGAAUGUUCAAUCCAUUUUUCGAUCAGAGGUUCUUUUAAAAUUGUUCAGUUCAGAAUCUCUACGAAUUUUUGUAAUGCGAAACUCAGCGAAUUUUUUAUUUGUUUAUUGUUGAGCAGAUCCGGUUAGAAGAGCUUUGGAGCAAUGCCGAUUCCAGUGGUUGGCGACCGUCGUCGUCACCGCGUUCUCAUUGGCCCCGUAUCUAUCUGUUCUUGUAGUUACAGACUGUUUCUCAUGCAAGAGUUUUUAAUUGAGUAUGGUUGUUAUAGAAUUUUCUGAUAAUGUGUUAUGGUGUUUUUUUCCAGCUCCUCCGAGUAAGAAUAAUGGCUAUUUGCGGGUUCGAUGCAAUGGUGGACUGAAUCAGCAGCGUACUGCAGUUUGUACCUUCCCAUUCUCUUACUGUAAAAUGUGAUGGAAUUUUAUGAGUAUAUAGGGUUGCUAUUUUCUAUACUGGUUUAGUGCAUUCACUGUUAAUUAACUAACCGUGUAGUCAAUGAAGCCUAGAUACUUCAAAAUAUUGAGAAGUAUCAAUGUCUGACACGAAUCCGAUACAUGUAUUUGACACGUCUCCGAUACAAAUAAACGUCCAAUACUUCCCAAUACAUACCCAUCAAGUAUCCAAUAGUUUUUUUUUUUUUCAUUCUUUUUGGAAAUAUUUUUAACGAUACUUCUCAGAUACAUCUUUGAUACUUCUUGCGAAAUAGAAACAGUACGCAGUUGUUAUCGAUAUCUAAAUCGAAAUACGAUACAUUUAUGAUAUGUCGUCCUAACUAAAAGCAAAAUUGCAUGCUUUUGUGACACAUUUAGAGUAGAAAAAAUAAUACUUACCGAUACAGGCGGGGAAGUUAUAUGUAACCAUGUCUAUGUCUAUUAACUACUUAUAUGUUUAUGUAUUUAUGAGAAAUUAGCUAUGAAUCUGUGUAUAGAUUGUGGAUUUUUUUAAUGUAUUUUGUCUGUGUCGUAUCUUGAUUUUAAAAAAUUUCACAAAUCUCCGCAUCUGUGUCAUAUCUUAUCCGUAUCGUAGUAUCAGAGCUUCUUAGUGUGUAGUAUUUGUUUUUUUUAUGCUAGGUGAAUCCAAUGCUGUUGUUGGGAUGGGGGUUUUCAUAUAUAUAUAUAUAUAUAUGACGGUUCUUUUGUUCUCUGUAUUGUAUUUAUAUAUUUCUAUGUUAAUGCUGUAGAUCUCUAACGCUGUUCUUGCUGCGCGGAUCAUGAAUGCUACACUAGUGCUGCCUGAAUUGGAUGCAAACCCCUACUGGCAGGAUAACAGGUAUAUCUCUAAUUGUCUUGAAAAUUUUUAUUCUUAACUUACUUCUGAUCCACAAAACUUGUUCAUCAAAUUCUCAAUUUUGAUUCAAAUGGUAGAAGAUAUGUGUGCUAUUUCUUUUUUCUUGAACAUAGGAGUAUUUGUUGAUUCCCAAUUUGAACGUGAUCACUACUUAACUAGUUAGUUUAUUAAUUAAUAAUAACUGUUAGUUUAUUAAUUAAUAAUUACUUUUGUUUAUGAAUAAUAAAUAAUUACUUGACAAAAGCUGUUGUUAUUAUUUUUUUAUUUUUUUGGUCAAGUAGCCAGUGGCUAGAAAUUCACCCUUUAAGGUGAAUUAGUGGGGAAUCUGGGGUUCAAACCCCAGCCCCUGUAUACCGUAAUAUCCCUUCCAAUUGAGCUAAGCUCACGGGGACAAAGCUGUUGUUAUUACCAUUAGGCGUCUACUAACGUAUUAGGAUAUGGCGAACUCAACAGUUUGUAGUGAAGGAUAAUGCUUGUUCUGGCAAAAUAAUAAAACAAGAAAGGCAAGAAUAGAUGUGCUCCGUUGAUUUUUAUUCACCCACCGCAUGAUUUCCAUGAAACAAGGUGAUAACUGUUUUAAACUCUUUACAAUGUUCCACGUGCAUAUUCUUGCAUUUCGUCUCCAACUUCCUCCUUAAAAUUUAGAAGCACUCCUGUAGUGAAUGCAUUAUAGUGUAUUAAUUUUAUUGUAAUUGAAAAACACUUCCACAUAUUUAAAUACAUGGGCUUAUUAUUGAAACAUGGAUUUUGCAUAAAUUUGUGUUUAGUUUGCCUAGAAAAUUGUGUUUAACUUAUAAUAAAAGGUAUUUAGUUCUUUUUAACAUGUCUCUGUAGACCCUCCCUUGAGAAAGACCUUAUGGUUAUAUUUGUUGUUACUUCAUAGGGAAUAUAUGAUAUUAUUUUUCCCACACAAAGUUAAAAGAUAGUUUCUGGUCAAGUUCUUGUACAUCUGAUAGCAAGUAAUUGCUGGAUUAACUGUGUCUAAACAAUAUACUAGGAUUAUUAUCAAUGGGGAAAUUUGCCAUUCGCUUGACCUUGGGUGCAUCUUGUAAUAAACAAAUUGGAAAUGUUUGCAUGUGUUCUUAUUCCAUUUGCAUGUUCUUAGCAAGGUAUCUCAAUUUAUACUUUUCUAUAAAACUAGCAUUAGAUUCUCGGUCAUUUAUCAGAUGGACUUAUUAUUGAAACAUGGAUUUUGCAUAAAUUUGUGUUUAGUUUGCCUAGAAAAAUGUGUGUUACUUAUAAUAAAAGGUAUUUAGUUCUUUUUAACAUGCCUCCUUAGACCAUCCAUUGAGAAGACCUUAUGGUCAUUUGCUGUUACUUCAUAGGGAAUAGAUGAUAUAUUAUUUUCCCCACACAUAGUUAAAGGAUAGUUUCUGGUUAAGUUCUUGUACAUCUGAUAGCAUGUAAUUGCUGGAUUAGCUUUGUAUGGAAACAAUAUGCUAGGAUUACUAUCAAUGGGGAAAUUACCAUUCGCUUGAUCUUGGGUGCAUCUUUUAAUAAACAAAUUUGAAAUGUUUGCAUUUUUUCUUAUAGCCUUUGCAUGUUCUUAGCAAGGUAUCUCAAUUUAUACUUUUCUAUAAAACUAGCAUCAGAUGCUUGGUCAUUCAUCAGAUGGAUUUAUUAGUUGGGUGCUUGUUAAUUUUAUUUAAGCUUUUCUUAUAGUAAUACAGAAAUGUGUUUAAUCUAGCACAAAAAUAUGUUCUACUUUUGGCAAUUGACAUCCAAAAUUCACUUGAAUAUCCAGACGAAGUUUCUUUAAUUUAAUUGUUUUUGUUUUGGACCUCUUGUUGGUUAGAAUCUUAUUCUGAUUUAGGAGAAGAGGCACCUUUUCUACGGUUGUAAAGAUUCUGGUCUCAUUGAUUGUUAAAUUUGUGAUGAAUUGGUGUCGCGUUAUAUGCAAUAGGUCAUAUAUCUAUUUAUUUGUUUGUUUGUUUUACAUGCAGUGAUUUCCAUGGUAUCUAUGAUGUUGAGCACUUCAUCAGAACACUGAGGUUUGACGUAAAAAUUGUAGAAAGCAUUCCAGAAAAUGAGAAAAACGUCAAAAAGAACAAAUUAAAGGCAUUUAAGGUAGAUUAUAAUAUUUGGCAAUUGAUUAGUUUGAAACUAUUUUAAUUUCCUGGAUAUCAUGUUCAAAACUUCAAAUGUUAUUUGAAACAGAUCCGGCCCCCUAGAGAUGCUCCUAUAAGUUGGUAUACUACUGAUGCUCUCAAGGAAAUGAAGGAACAUGGUGCCAUUUAUCUUACUCCCUUUUCACACCGGUUAGCUGAAGAAAUUGACAAUCCUGAGUACCAAAGGUUGAGGUGUAGAGUUAACUAUUAUGCAUUAAGAUUCAAGCCACAUAUCAUGAAGCUAAGUCAAUCAAUAGUUGAUAAGCUACGUGGACAAGGACCCUUCAUGUCCAUUCUUCGGUUUGAGCUGGAUAUGUUGGCAUUUGCCUGGUAAGUUAUCUACUUAUCUUGAAUGCAUGUGCGUUCACAUCAAUUGAGAUAUAGGCAUUUUGUCAUUUUUUUUUUUUUUCGUUGUUGAAGAAAAUGCCAAUUUUUGUCAGAAAACAUGGAUCAAAGGCGUGAAAUUUCAAUCCAUCAGUGGACCUGUUGUAGUUCUUUUUUAUUGUUUCUAAACAUCUCUAAUGGCCAUUCCAAAGUCCUUUUACUGUGUCUAUUUCUCUUGUAGUGCUUUUAUAUUUCUAAACAUCUCUCUAGGAAAAUGACAUUUUUAUUUGACAAAUUGUAAUUUGUAACUCUUUCGUGGAUACACCCAGACGCUUAAUAAUAGUAUAAUAAUAAUAGUAUAUAGAAUUUCAGAAACUUGUUCACACGCUUACUCCCUUAAACUGCUUUGAAUGUUUUGGUUAACUUUGGCUGCGAGCUUUCAUGUCUGUCCCAGUUGAUGUGCAGCACAUUUAUUUGUGCAAAACACAGAAUGCUCUUCUAUUUAAGAACAUAACGUAUAUUUAUUUUUUUAAAUAUGCAUUUGGGAUAUCUUCCUGCUAUGUCCCGAGUGUUUGGCCGUAUCUGUAUUUGCAUGUUCUAUAAGUGCUGAUCAAAGAGUAGAAAUUAUAGAAUCUGUUUUAUUGACGGAUACAUAAACUAAUUUUUCUUCCAUUGAAAAUAUAAUUUAAUGUUUCUUUCUCUAAAUUACUCAUGUUAAAUGUGAAUGUAGAUGCUUUGAUAUAUUUACACCUGAGAAGCAAAAGCUUCUGAAGGAGCAUCGGAAAAAAAAAUUUGCACCUAAAAAACUAGUCUAUAAAGAAAGAAGAGCCAUUGGAAAAUGCCCAUUGACUCCCGAGGAGGUAAGAAUUAGUUUUAUACCGAUUAUCUUCUAACUAUUUCUGUCUGCCUUUGCAAAAAAAAAAAAUGUUCGUUGUCUGGCAAAUGGUAUGCGUGUUGAUGAUUAUACAGAUUACAAAUUUGUUGAAAGUUAUGAUGCCAACAAUUUAAUUGGAUAUAGAUUGAUCUGUUCUAACUGCAGGUUGGUCUUAUUUUGCGUGCAUUGGGUUUUGACAAUUCUACCAGGAUAUAUCUUGCAGCUGGUGAAUUGUUUGGUGGGGAUCGAUUUAUGAAUCCAUUUCGCAGUUUGUUCCCCAGACUUGAGAAUCACAGUUCUGUAGAUCACUCUGAAGAGCUUGCUGAGAACACUAGGGGAUUGGCAGGUUCUGCUGUGGAUUACAUGUUCUGCUUUCUUUCUGACAUUUUCUUGCCAACCUAUAAUGGCCCAAGCAACUUUGCAAACAACCUCCUUGGUCAUCGCCUUUAUUAUGGCUUUCGGACUACAAUCAGACCUGAUAGAAAAGCUCUUGCCCCCAUUUUCAUUGAUAGGGAGAAUGGACGAAUGACCGUUUUUGAUGAGGCCGUUAGGAAAGUAAUGCUUAAAACAAACUUUGGUGAAGCUCAUAAGCGGGUUUCUCCUGAGUCUUUCUAUUCAAAUUCUUGGCCUGAAUGCUUCUGUCAAACAUCAGCAAAGAACCCAGAAGACAACUGUCCACCUAAUGAUGUUUUAAAUGUUCUGCAUGAUGAAUUGGCAAAAGCAUCUAUAGACACAAACUCUACAAAAGCUUGAGCAGAUAUAGGCACUGAUUUAAAUUACCUUGCAAAUUGGAUUCAGGUUUGUAGGAUUCUGUGCAAUGUAUGAUUACGCGGUUUAAUGUGUUUUGCUUUGUAAGUGAAUUAAACUUAUGUGAAUUUAUAGGCACUGUUUAAUUCAUUGCCGCCGGAGGAUUACAAUAAUGGAGUGUUGGUGUUGGGAGGUGAUGGUCGAUACUUUAAUAGAGAAGCUGCACAGGUUAACCUUUUUGAAUGUGUCCAAUUACUAGUUUUGUUAGGGGUGGGGUUCAAAUGUCUAUUAUUUUUUGUAUCUCACUCGAACAACCUUGUAAAGGAAGAUGAGGUGGCCAAAAUACAUGUCAUAUUUUUAUUGAGAUACAGUGCCGCAAGCAUUUAUCAAACAUUAUCGAAGUUUUGUCAACUUUUUUACAUUUUAACUGUCUUAUGUAAGUUGUUUAUUUCCAAUUACUAGGGCUGUAUUAGCUUGGAUUUCUAUUAUUGCUCACCACAACAAAGAUACAAAACCAGGGGAGAAAUUGAUCUCUGUAUUUGAUGUUGUAAAGGAACAUUGGGCAACCUAUGGUAGAAAUUUCUUUUCUAGAUAUGACUACGAGGUUGGUAUCAUUGUUGCAAUUGAUGAUUUACAUGUAUCAUACUUUUUCGCACUUCAUUAUUUAGUUCAGUUUUGCUUUGAAAUUUCUUAAGGCUAAUUUGUAGGUACUUUGGAGUUUGAUUGGGGUACUGGGUACCCUCUAGGCAAAAUUUGUAACAUUUUUAUUUAUUUUAAAAUAAAUUAAUAUGAAAAUAGGAUAUGGCAUUGAUUGAUUGGAUGAG
This 10576-nucleotide long non-coding RNA is filed under the name Medicago truncatula (barrel medic). RNAcentral's name for it is "long non-coding RNA (MTRU_LNC007770)". The record is from RNAcentral. Lineage: Eukaryota; Viridiplantae; Streptophyta; Magnoliopsida; Fabales; Fabaceae.